AUGGCUCGGAGCAACCCGGGGCUUCUCCUAGGGCUGCUUCUGCUGCGGCUCAAUUGGUGCUUGGGCGUGGAUGGCGGAGGCGCGGAGGAAGGGGGCGGCGUGUUUCCGGUGGUGGUGAGCACCUGGCCGUUCCGGGAGGCGGUCAGGGCGGCGUGGGACGUGGUGAAAACCGGUGGCGCAGGGGGGUCGGCUGUGGAUGCCGUCGUCGCCGGCUGCUCCGCCUGCGAGGAGCUCCGCUGCGAUGGCACAGUUGGUCCAGGUGGAAGUCCAGAUGAGGAUGGUGAAACUACCUUAGAUGCUCUUAUCAUGAAUGGGAAAACAAUGGAAAUUGGAGCUGUGGCUGCCAUGAGAUAUGUGAAGGAUGCAAUUAUGGCAGCAAAGUUGGUCAUGGAGCACACCGGGCAUACUCUUCUUGUUGGAGAGAAGGCGACAUCCUUUGCGAUUUCAAUGGGUCUUGCAGGACCAACUAACCUGAGUUCACCAGAGUCAAUUGAGAAAUGGUCAAAUUGGAGACAGAAUAAUUGCCAACCUAACUUUUGGAAAAAUGUUGCUCCUGCUGGCAACUGUGGUCCAUACCAUCCUAUAAAUAUACCUAAGGACCCUGUUAAAAGUGCUGUAUGGGAGAAUCAAGGAAUCACUUGUCAGGAAUGGCUCGAAAAUGAUAAUUUACUAGAACCGACAAACUCCCAUUUCAACUCUGUUAAUCGCCACAACCAUGACACAAUCUCUAUGGCCGUCAUUGACAAGAUGGGUCAUGUAGCAGUUGGCACAUCAACUAAUGGUGCUACGUUCAAAAUUCCAGGAAGGGUAGGUGAUGGACCAAUACCAGGAUCUUCUGCAUAUGGUGAUGAUGAAGUUGGGGCUUGUGGAGCUACUGGUGACGGUGAUAUUAUGAUGCGCUUCCUUCCAUGUUAUCAAGUAGUAGAGAGCAUGCGACUUGGAAUGGAGCCUCGAGAUGCUGCUGUGGAUGCUAUAUCAAGAAUUGCUCGUAAGUACCCAGAUUUUGUUGGUGCUGUAUUUGCGCUUAACAAGAAAGGAGUGCACGCCGGGGCGUGCCAUGGUUGGACCUUUCAGUAUUCUGUCAGGAAUUCCAGCAUGCUGGAUGUGGAGGUCAUCACAGUAACACCUUAA
This 1131-nucleotide ribosomal RNA is filed under the name Triticum aestivum (bread wheat). RNAcentral's name for it is "partial small subunit ribosomal RNA". Lineage: Eukaryota; Viridiplantae; Streptophyta; Magnoliopsida; Poales; Poaceae. The record is from RNAcentral.